ACUGAAAGGAAUAACAAAAAAUCAUGCACUGACAGUUCUAGCUAGUUUGUGUGGUAUUUUACUCUUCAUCUCAGACAUCCAGAUCACUU
Molecule: long non-coding RNA, 89 nt
Organism: Thalassophryne amazonica
Lineage: Eukaryota; Metazoa; Chordata; Actinopteri; Batrachoidiformes; Batrachoididae
Exons: 3
Source: RefSeq, a predicted model, not a curated record